Molecule: long non-coding RNA, 333 nt
Filed under: Apteryx rowi (Okarito brown kiwi)
Lineage: Eukaryota; Metazoa; Chordata; Aves; Apterygiformes; Apterygidae
Description: lncRNA (ENSARWG00000015095.1)
Source: RNAcentral
CAAAUAGCGUAAUGUUCAGCCUCCGAUAUCGUGCUGUAACRGGGAUUAAACUCACCGUGCAGAGCUAUUACUGGGACCUCUCUGCAGAGUUUAGCAUGGUUGACCAUGAAAUCCUCCUGUCCAACAUGAGCUAGGUGGCAGGAGUCCAAGUAAUGGAAUUCAACCUCAUUGGCAGCUGGACUCAAGACCCUAGCAAUUUGCAGAUGAUACCCAGCCAUGUGUAUUUGUUACCAUCUAUGACUACUACAUCAUCAGCUCUGCUACUGCAAAGGUGAUCAAAUAAUUGUAGGAGAUUAAGUAAACUGAAGUGAGCUAGAUUAUGUUAUGUUUCCG